AUUUAGAGGAAGGAGAAGUCGUAACAAGGUUUCCGUAGGUGAACCUGCGGAAGGAUCAUUGUCGAUGCCUAAACACCGAACGACCCGCGAACGCGUUUACAAACCUUCCGUGCCGGGGGGACGCACGCGCAGUCGUGCUUGCUUGCUUGCUUGCCUGCCUGCCUCUCCCCUCGGUGCUAAACCAAACCCCGGCGCAGGUCGCGCCAAGGAACUCGAACGAAUUCGCCCUGCCCCGCGCCCCGGUCUCGGCGUGCGUGGGGCGGAGCAUUCCUGUCGUAUUACUCACAACGACUCUCGGCAACGGAUAUCUCGGCUCUCGCAUCGAUGAAGAACGUAGCGAAAUGCGAUACUUGGUGUGAAUUGCAGGAUCCCGCGAACCACCGAGUCUUUGAACGCAAGUUGCGCCCGGAGCCUUCUGGCCGAGGGCACGUCUGCCUGGGCGUCACGCAUCGCUGACGCAACCCCCUCCUCGGGACCGUUGCGCAGGCGCGGGCACACGCUGGCCUCCCGUGCGCACCGUCGCGCGGAUGGCUUAAAUUCGAGUCCUCGGCGCUCGUCGUCGCGACACUACGGUGGUUGAUCCGACCCCGGUACCGCGUCGCGACCUCGGCACCUCCUCCUCGCGAGUGAGCGAGGACUCCGAUGCCGACCCUCCGAACGUCGUCCGAAAAGAAAGAAAGACGAUGCUCUCGACGCGACCCCAGGUGGCGGGACUACCCGCU
This 722-nucleotide unclassified non-coding RNA is filed under the name Linnaeosicyos amara. RNAcentral describes it as "sequence contains ITS1, 5.8S rRNA gene and ITS2". The stretch from base 290 to 445 matches the Rfam family "5.8S ribosomal RNA". The record is from RNAcentral. Lineage: Eukaryota; Viridiplantae; Streptophyta; Magnoliopsida; Cucurbitales; Cucurbitaceae.